RNAcentral lists this ribosomal RNA (250 nucleotides) under uncultured Anaerococcus sp. RNAcentral's name for it is "partial 16S ribosomal RNA". It matches the Rfam family "Bacterial small subunit ribosomal RNA", at positions 524 to 774 of the family's 1533-position model. Lineage: Bacteria; Bacillati; Bacillota; Tissierellia; Tissierellales; Peptoniphilaceae. The record is from RNAcentral.
UACGUAAGGACCGAGCGUUGUCCGGAAUCAUUGGGCGUAAAGGGUACGUAGGCGGGUCAUUAAGUUAGAAGUCAAAGGCUAUAGCUCAACUAUAGUAAGCUUCUAAAACUGGAGACCUUGAGUAAUGGAAGGGAAAGUGGAAUUCCUAGUGUAGCGGUGGAAUGCGCAGAUAUUAGGAGGAAUACCGGUGGCGAAGGCGACUUUCUGGCCAUUAACUGACGCUGAGGUACGAAAGCGUGGGUAGCAAACA